RNAcentral lists this ribosomal RNA (496 nucleotides) under uncultured bacterium. Its description in RNAcentral is "partial 16S ribosomal RNA". It matches the Rfam family "Bacterial small subunit ribosomal RNA", at positions 28 to 506 of the family's 1533-position model. The record is from RNAcentral.
GAUGAACGCUGGCGGCGUGCCUAAUACAUGCAAGUCGAGCGAACAGAUGAGGAGCUUGCUCCUCUGACGUUAGCGGCGGACGGGUGAGUAACACGUGGAUAACCUACCUAUAAGACUGGGAUAACUUCGGGAAACCGGAGCUAAUACCGGAUAAUAUAUUGAACCGCAUGGUUCAAUAGUGAAAGACGGUUUUGCUGUCACUUAUAGAUGGAUCCGCGCCGCAUUAGCUAGUUGGUAAGGUAACGGCUUACCAAGGCAACGAUGCGUAGCCGACCUGAGAGGGUGAGCGGCCACACUGGAACUGAGACACGGUCCAGACUCCUACGGGAGGCAGCAGUAGGGAAGCUGCCGCAAUGGGCGAAAGCCUGACGGAGCAACGCCGCGUGAGUGAUGAAGGUCUUCGGAUCGUAAACCUCUGUUAUUAGGGAAGAACAAAUGUGUAAGUAACUAUGCACGUCUGGACGGUACCUAAGCAGAAAGCCACGGCUAACUACGU